This 897-nucleotide long non-coding RNA is filed under the name Daphnia magna. RNAcentral's name for it is "uncharacterized LOC116930671, transcript variant X1". The record is from RNAcentral. Lineage: Eukaryota; Metazoa; Arthropoda; Branchiopoda; Diplostraca; Daphniidae.
UAUGUUUCGCUAGUUGCUACACGUUCUUGCUCGAUGAAACAAUUGCAAGCUAUUUUUGUUAUUCUUGGUUGCCAAGCUUUAACGAUUCUGGAACAUGGCAUGUUUAUGUUGUGCCUCUUUUCUUAGCUCAAUGACUGUGGAGGAGCUGGUGUUUGAUGUUUAAAAGCUGAGAUAAAUGUUAUUGAUGUCCUGUCAGCUGGUUCAACUCCCUCCAUACAGCUUAAAGAACCCUUUCACUUUUCUGAAUAGACAGGUCAAAGUCCCUUUAGCAACCAUGCUUGCCUAACAGUGGUUGAGGAAAGUCAAUACAUGAUGGAAAAGAGAAAGGAAAAUUUUUGAGCCUGUCUUGUAAAGACACUGUUAUAAACAUGCUUUUGUAAAUCCUAAAGGAAUUGUGCAAUUUCACUUCAGGAACAUCAAGUAAAAUGAGAUGCUGUAGUUUGGAAAGAAUGAUGUGCGUAUAACGAGUUAGCGGCCGAUUCGAAACAGAUGAUAUAGUAUUUCAUUUAUAUACAUUGAAGUGCAUAUCUGGGCCCCCUUCUUUUCUGCGGCCCCGUUUCCCCUUGACUCAUAAUAAGCCCGUAGGGGUCAUGCCCCUACUGUACGAUGUAUAUAAAAACAACAUAUAUCGAGGUUUGGAGGGCUCUUAUCCGCCGUUUGUGCUGCCGUUCCUCAUAAAGCGCUUCUCCAGAGUGACGACUCGUCGCGAGUGCAGGCCAUCCAUAUCGAUAACGGUUUCCUGCGUAAAGACCAAUCCGAGCAGGUCGUCACUAGUUUACACCAACUCAGGCUCAAUCUUCAGGUAAUUUGAGAUGUUUUUCUGGACCGUUCAGAAUCUUAUGAUUGGCCAAAAUUUGAUACGAGAUUAAUUGAUACAUCGUCCUGUCACAUCUUAAA